UAUUCUUUAAAACCUGAUAAAGAAUUGGAAACAUUUGGCUAAUUAACAUUUUUAUAGUUAAAGCUCUUAGUCUUGAUUAAAGUAAGAAGUAUUGUAAAAAUGCAUUGGCAGUUUGGCAACUCUUUUUUUUAAUAUAGUUAAGCAUGAAGCUGGAUUUAGUGUGGAACCAAAUUCCACAUACAUGCUUACAUUGCUUCAUACUAUGUUUACUGUUUUGCAUGGAUAGUGCUGGAGUACUUAUUGGUCAUACGCCUAAAGUGAAUUUGUUAAUUGCACAGGAUGUAUGAUAAUAUUAGUGAACUUAAGGAUACUGAAUUGUGUAUCAGGAAUAAAAUAUUCAUUAUGUGGGUUUUUGGGGGCCCUAUGUAACACUGUAGCCUCCAGGGUAAAUUGAAUAAGAAAAUUUAGGGUUGGUUUCCUGCUUAUUUGUUUUUGCUUCUAGUUUUCAUUUGUUUGCCAUUUGUUCUCCUCUGACUUUGCUUGUGUAUGCAUGUAUAUAAAAACCAUGAUUUUUCUUAGUUCCUAGUGGAAGGUUUUCAUUUAGUUCUGUGUUCCUGUGCAUUUCUAGCAAGUCAUCAUUCAUUCCAUUUUUCUGGAAUUCCCAAGCUACCUUUGUUGGGCCUGCAGGAAUUAAUGGAGCAUACUAGCUUUUUUAUCCUUAAACUAACUUUUUGGAUUUUAGGCUUCCUGAUACUUUAAGUGUGUUGAGUAUACUCUCACAAAUAGAAUUUUAGUCAUAUUUCUCUCACUCUGCCUAGUUUCUCCAAAAUUUGUAAACUAUUUAUGAAUAUUCUUAAUUCAUUGCAAUGUGUUUGUUUGCAUACAGUCAAGCAGGGUCCCUGGGGCCACUCAGGGAGAGAAUGUCAGGCCUCUGAGCCCAAGCUAAGCCGUCAUAUCCCCUGUGACCUGCACGUAUACAUCCAGAUGGCCUGAAAUAACUGAAGAAUCACAAAGAAGUGAAAAUGGCCUGUUCCUGCCUUAACUGAUAACAUUACCUUGUGAAAUUCCUUCUCCUGGCUCUUCUGGCUCAAAAGCUCCCCCACUGAGCACCUUGUGACCCCCACCCCUGCCAGCCAAAAAACAACCCCCUUUGACUGUAAUUUUCCAUUACCUACCCAAAUCCUAUAAAACAGCCCCACCCCUAUCUCCUUUUGCUGACUCUUUUCGGAUUCAGCCUGCCUGCACCCAGGUGAUUAAAAAGCUUUAUUGCUCACACAAAGCCUGUUUGGUGGUCUCUUCACAGGGACACGCAUGAAAUUUGGUGCCAUGACUCGGAUCAGGGGACCUCCCUUGGGAGAUCAAUCCCCUGUCCUCCUGCUCUUUGCUCAGUGAGAAAGAUCCACCUAUGACCUCAGGUCCUCAGACCAACCAGCCCAAGGAACAUCCCACCAAUUUUAAACCCGGACCCCACUGGAAACUGGACUGUCCAACUCACCCAGCAGCCACUCCCAGAGCCCCUGGAACUCUGGCCCAAGGCUAUCUGACUGACUCCUUCCCAGAUCUUCUCCGCUUAGCGGCUGAAGACUGAUGCUGCCCAAUCGCCUCAGAAGCUUCCUGGAUCAUCACAGAUGCUUUAGGUAACUCUUACAGUGGAGGGUAAGUCCGUCCCCUUCUUAAUCAAUAUGGAGGCUACCAACUCCACAUUACCUUCUUUUCAAGGGCCUAUUUCCUUUGCCUCCACAACUAUUGUGGGUAUUGACAGCCAGGCUUCUAAACCUCUUAAAACUUCCCAACUCUGGUGCCAACUUGGACAAUAUUCUUUUAUGCACUCCUUUUUAGUUAUCCCCACCUGCCCAGUUCCCUUAUUAGGUCAAGACAUUUUAACUAAAUUAUCUGCUUCCCUGACUAUUCCUGGGCUACAGCCACACCUUAUUGCCACCCUUUUCCCCAGUUUAAAGCCUCCUUCACAUCCUCCCCUUGUAUCUCCCCACCUUAAUCCACACAUAUGGGACAUGUCUACUCCCUCCUUGGUGACUGAUCAUGCACCCCUUACCAUCCCAUUAAAACCUAAUCACCCUUACCCUGUUCAAUGCUAAUAUCCUAUCCCACAGCAUGCUUUAAAAAGAUUAAAGCCUGUUAUCACUUGCCUGUUACAGCAUGGCCUUUUAAAGCCUAUAAUCUCUCCUUAUAAUUCCCCCAUUUUACCUGUUCAAAAACCAGACAGGUCUUACAGGUUAGUGCAGGAUCUGUGCCUUAUCAACCAAAUUGUUUUGCCUAUCCACCCCAUGGUGCCAAACUCAUAUAUGCUCCUAUCCUCCAUACCUCCCUCCACAACCCAUUAUUCUGUUCUGGAUCUCAAACAUGCUUUCUCUACUAUUCCUUUGCACCCUUCAUCCCAGCCUCUCUUCACUUUCACUUGGACUGACCCUGACACCCAUCAGGCUCAGCAAAUUACCUGGGCUGUACUGCUGCAAGUCUUCACGGACAGGCCCCAUUACUUCAGUGAACCCCAAUUUCUUCCUCAUCCAUUACCUAUCUCAACAUAAUUCUUCAUGAAAACACACAUGCUCUCCCUGCUGAUCACGUCCAGCUAAUCUCACAAACCCUAACCCCUUCUACAAAGCAACAAUGCCUUUCCUUCCUAGGCAUGGUUAGAUACUCCACCUUUGGAUACCUAGUUUUACCAUCCUGACUAAACCAUUAUAUAAACUUAAAAAUGCAAACUUAGCUGAUCCCAUAGAUCCUAAAUUCUUUCGCCACUCCUCUUUCUGUUCCUUAAAAACAGCCCUAGAAGCUGCUCCCACACUAGCUCUCUCUAACUCAUCCAACCCUUUUUCAUUACACACAGCUGAAGUGCAGGGCUGUGCGGUCAGAAUUCUUACACAAGAGCCAGGACCGCGCCCGGCAGCCUUUCUAUCCAAACAACUUGACCUUACUGUUUUAGCCUAGCCCUCAUGUCUGUGUACGGCAGCUGUCGCUGCUUUAAUACUUUUAGAGGCCCUCAAAAUCACAAACUGUGCUCAACUCACUCUCUCCAGUUCUCAUAACUUCCAAAAUCUAUUUUCUUCCUCACACCUGAUGCAUAUACUUUCUGCCCCGCUCCACUACCUCUCAGCAAGCUGAACUCAUUGCCUUAACUGGAGCCCUAACCCUUGCAAAUGAAUUACACGUCAAUAUUUAUACUGACUCUAAAGAUGCCUUCCAUAUCCUGCACCACCAUGCUGUUGUAUGGGCUGAAAGAGGUCUCCUCACUACACAAGGGUCCUCCAUCUUAAUGCCUCUUUAAUAAAAACUCUUCUCAAGGCCGCUUUACUUCCAAAGGAAGCUGGAGUCAUUCACUGCAAGGGCCAUCAAAAGGCAUCAGAUCCCAUUGCUCUGGGCAAUGCUUAUGCUGAUAAGGUAGCUAAAAAGCAGCUAGCAUUCCAACUUCUAUCCCUCACAGCCAGUUUUUCUCCUUCUCAUCGGUCACUCCCACCUACUCCCCUACUAAAACUUCCACCUAUCAAUCUCUUCCCACACAAGGCAAAUGGUUCUUAGACCAAGGAAAAUAUCUCCUUCCAGCCUCACAGGCCCAUUCUAUUCUGUCGUCAUUUCAUAACCUCUUCCAUGUAGGUUACAAGCCACUAGCCCACCUCUUAGAACCUCUCAUUUCCUUUCCAUCAUGGAAAUCUAUCCACAAGGAAAUCACUUCUCAGGGUUCCAUCUGCUAGUCUACUACUCCUCAGGACCCUCCCUUCCCUACACAUCAAGCUCAGGGAUUUGCCUCUGCCCAGGACUGGCAAAUUGACUUUACUCACAUGCCCCAAGUCAGGAAACUAAAAUACCUCUUGGUCUAGGUAGACACGUUCACCGGUUGGGUAGAGACCUUUCCCGUAGGGUCUGAAAAGGCCACCACGAUCAUUUCUUCCCUUCUGUCAGACAUAAUUCCUCGGUUUGGCCUUCCUACCUCUAUACAGUCUGAUAACAGACCAGCCUUUAUUAGUCAAAUCACUCAAGCAGUUUCUCAGGCUCUUGGUAUUCAGUGAAACCUUCAUACCCCUUACCGUCUUCAAUCUUCAGGAAAGGUAAAACGGACUAAUGGUCUUUUAAAAACACACCUCACCAAACUCAGCCUCCAACUUAAAAAAAGGACUCUGUCAAGAAUAGAGCCCAAAAACUCACCAACCAAACAAGUAAUUACACUGAAUCCCCUUGGGCACUCUCUAAUCGGAUGUCCUGGGUCCUCCCAAUUCUUAGUCCUUUAAUACCUGUUUUUCUCCUUCUCUUAUUCAGACCUUGUGUCUUCCAUUUAGUUUUUCAGUUCAUACAAAAUUGCAUCCAGGCCAUCACCAAUCAUUCUACAUGACAAAUGCUCCUUUUAACAACCCCACAAUAUCACCCCUUACCACAAAAUCUUCCUUUGGCUUAAUCUCUCCCACUCUAGGUUCCCACACUGCCCUUAAUCCUGCUUGAAGCAGCCCUGAGAAACAUUGCCCAUUAUCUCUCCAUACCACCCCCAAAAUUUUUGCUGCCCCAACACUUCAACACUAUUUUAUGUUAUUUUUCUUACUAAUAUAAGAAGACAGGAAUAUCAGGCCUCUGAGCCCAAGCUAAGCCAUCAUGUCCCCUGUGACCUGCACGUAUGCACCCAGAUGGCCUGAAGUAACUGAAGGAUCACAAAAGAAGUGAAAACGGCCUGUUCCUGCCUUAACUGAUGACAUUACCUUGUGAAAUUCCUUCUCCUGGCUCAUCCUGGCUCAAAAGCUCCCCCACUGAGCACCUUGUGUCCCCUGCCCGUGCCUGCCAAAGAACAACCCCUUUGACUGUAAUUUUCCAUGACCUACCCAAAUCCUAUAAAACGGCCCCACCCCUAUCUCCCUUCGCUGACUCUCUUUACGGACUUAGCCCACCUGCACCCAGGUGAUUAAAAAGCUUUAUUGCUCACACAAAGCCUGUUCAGUGGUCUCUUCACAGGGACACGCGUGAAAGAGAGAACCCUGAAAUCUGGCAUGCCGGUGAAAGGAUAAGAAUUUCUUAUGAGUCAGUCUCUGGGCUCUUUCCCUCUAUGCAAACUGGUUAAAUAUAAAGUAGAAGUCACGUAUAUCUCCUCUGUAAGAUUUUAAAUUAAUUGGUUUAAUAAUAAUAAAAGCUUAAGUCAAAUAUUUUGUCAGAAAAGUAGAAAGUGUAAUGCCUUUUAGUUCAUGUGACUUUAGCAAUAGUUGGGAAAUAAAGACAGUUUUCAAGAUUAUUGGAAAAAUACAGUUGUCUUCAAAAUGUAAACAUGUGGUGUACAUUAUGUUCAAAUACUAGGUUUGCUAAAUCCUUUAACAUCAUAAGCUACUCCUUUGGCUUUUGAAAAUUGUUUAACUUGCCUGCUUUCCAGCUAGGUAAGGCCUGGGGACACGUGGAGUUAGCCAUGCCCCUAGCUGUGCUGGAAGUAGUCAAACCUUAUCAGAAACUUUAUCAGAACUUACCAGUUUUUUUUGUUUUUGUUUUUGUUUUGACAGAGUCUCACUCUGUCCCCCAGGCUGGAGUGCAGUGGCGCAAUCUCGGCUCACCCACAAUCUCCAUCUCCCAGAUUCAAGCAAUUCUCUGCCCUAGCCUCCUGAGUAGCUGGAAUUACAGACGCCCGCCACCACACCUGGCUAAUUUUUUAUUAUUAUUUUUAGUAGAGAUGGGGUUUUACCAUCUUGGCUAGGCUGGUCUUGAACUCCUGACCUCAUGAUCCACCCGCCUCGGCCUCCCAAAGUGCUGGGAUUACAGGAGUGAGCCACCGCGCCUGGCC
RNAcentral lists this long non-coding RNA (5704 nucleotides) under Homo sapiens (human). RNAcentral's name for it is "PREDICTED lncRNA (TCONS_00085175)". Lineage: Eukaryota; Metazoa; Chordata; Mammalia; Primates; Hominidae. The record is from RNAcentral.